UGCAAGUCGAGCGGUAACAGAUCUAGCUUGCUGGAUGCUGACGAGCGGCGGACGGGUGAGUAAUGCAUAGGAAUCUGCCCGAUAGUGGGGGAUAACCUGGGGAAACCCAGGCUAAUACCGCAUACGUCCUACGGGAGAAAGGGGGCUCCGGCUCCCGCUAUGGGAUGAGCCUAUGUCGGAUUAGCUAGUUGGUGAGGUAACGGCUCACCAAGGCCACGAUCCGUAGCUGGUCUGAGAGGAUGAUCAGCCACAUCGGGACUGAGACACGGCCCGAACUCCUACGGGAGGCAGCAGUGGGGAAUAUUGGACAAUGGGGGAAACCCUGAUCCAGCCAUGCCGCGUGUGUGAAGAAGGCCCUCGGGUUGUAAGCACUUUCAGCGAGGAAGAACGCCUAGCGGUUAAUACCCGCUAGGAAAGACAUCACUCGCAGAAGAAGCACCGGCUAACUCCGUGCCAGCAGCCGCGGUAAUACGGAGGGUGCAAGCGUUAAUCGGAAUUACUGGGCGUAAAGCGCGCGU
Molecule: ribosomal RNA, 518 nt
Filed under: uncultured bacterium
Lineage: Bacteria
Description: bacterial SSU rRNA
Rfam family: Bacterial small subunit ribosomal RNA
Source: RNAcentral